This 75-nucleotide transfer RNA is filed under the name bacterium. RNAcentral's name for it is "tRNA-Thr". It matches the Rfam family "tRNA". From Rfam's summary of the family: Transfer RNA (tRNA) molecules are approximately 80 nucleotides in length. The record is from RNAcentral.
GCCAACGUAGCUUAAUGGCAGAGCAACGGUUUUGUAAACCGUAGGUUGUGGGUUCGAUUCCCACCGUUGGCUCCA